UCCCACUUGAUUUCCCAUCUCAAUAUAAUGCAAAUAUUCAGAAUUAGACCAUCCCAGACCCAACGGCAAAGCUUGGUGAUGCAGGGGCUGCUAUUUCUCCUGAUUUGUGAGUAUACAUGUUCUUUCUCGGUGGUCUUACAACUUUUGUAUUUAGACAAUCUGUGCGUUGACAGUGUCUCUGUCUCUCGUGGUUGUAUCUUUGCCUUUUUGGAGAGAAGUC
RNAcentral lists this long non-coding RNA (220 nucleotides) under Elaeis guineensis (African oil palm). RNAcentral's name for it is "long non-coding RNA (EGUI_LNC028561)". Lineage: Eukaryota; Viridiplantae; Streptophyta; Magnoliopsida; Arecales; Arecaceae. The record is from RNAcentral.